This 298-nucleotide signal recognition particle RNA is filed under the name Oryctes borbonicus. Its description in RNAcentral is "Metazoan signal recognition particle RNA". It matches the Rfam family "Metazoan signal recognition particle RNA". Rfam says of the family: The signal recognition particle (SRP) is a universally conserved ribonucleoprotein. It is involved in the co-translational targeting of proteins to membranes. The eukaryotic SRP consists of a 300-nucleotide 7S RNA and six proteins: SRPs 72, 68, 54, 19, 14, and 9. Lineage: Eukaryota; Metazoa; Arthropoda; Insecta; Coleoptera; Scarabaeidae. The record is from Rfam by way of RNAcentral.
ACUGGGAGCGUGGCGCACUCCUGUAAUCCAGCUGCUUGGAGGUCGGAGUCAGCGGAUGGUUUGAGGUCAGGAGUCCUGGCGUAGGGCAUCUCACGUCGACUGGGCGUCCGCGCUAAGCCCGGCGUCAAUAUGGUCGAACCGGAGGAGUCCGGUGGCGGCCAGGUUGGCCAAGGAGGGGCGCACCGGGCCAGGCGGGAAACCGAGCAGCCAAAAGUCCCCGCGUCGGGCAGUAGCGGGAUCGCGCCCGGGAGUGGGAGCCCUGUGACAGCCUGACCAAUACAGCUAGACCUGGUUCUUU